This 605-nucleotide long non-coding RNA is filed under the name Carica papaya (papaya). Its description in RNAcentral is "long non-coding RNA (CPAP_LNC013872)". Lineage: Eukaryota; Viridiplantae; Streptophyta; Magnoliopsida; Brassicales; Caricaceae. The record is from RNAcentral.
GGUGUUGUAUACAUAGAUAUAGAUAUAAUCAUUUAUUAUAAUCUCCUUUUUUUUUAAUAUUAAUGUAAAUAAUGUGAUUUAACAGCAUUUGAAGACUUUAAUUAAUUUUUAGUAAUUUUAUUUUAUAAGAGAAAAAGAAGGUAUUUUGGAAUACCUUAUUUUAUAAAUGAAUUUCACCAUGCUUGCUUUUGAUCUCGAGACCCCUCCAUCUCGUGGCUAAAGCUUCAACCACUGAGACCUCGGGGCUGGAUCCGCACAACUGGCAGCUUACAUAUAUAUAUAUAUAUAUAUUUAAACAUAUGUAUAUAUAUAUGUAAACAUGUAUAAAUAUGGUUAACUAAAUUUUACUGUGAAAUUUUUUUAGUGAAAACAAAAACUAUUUAUUAUAAAAAGGUAUUUUAAAAUACCUCAUUUUGACUCUUCUUAUGUUUCUUCUUCUUUCCAUCUUCUUCUUCUGGUACCAACCCUCGAACACGGGACCUUGAGUUAAGUGACAACUCAACCAGCAAAGCACCAUGCGAGGAUUGAUGUCGGUGCUUCCAUUUGUUUAGUAAUAAAGUUGAAAACGGAAAUAAAUUAUUAAUCUGAAUAAGAAUAUCAUAAUU